This 462-nucleotide ribosomal RNA is filed under the name uncultured Pirellula sp. RNAcentral's name for it is "bacterial SSU rRNA". It matches the Rfam family "Bacterial small subunit ribosomal RNA", at positions 338 to 795 of the family's 1533-position model. Lineage: Bacteria; Pseudomonadati; Planctomycetota; Planctomycetia; Pirellulales; Pirellulaceae. The record is from RNAcentral.
CCUACGGGCGGCUGCAGUCGAGAAUCUUUGUCAAUGGACGAAAGUCUGAACAAGCGACGCCGCGUGCGGGAUGAAGGCCUUCGGGUUGUAAACCGCUGUCGUAGGGGAACAAAUGUACGGGGGUACUCCCCUGUAUUUGAGUGAUCCUAGGAGGAAGGAGAGGCUAAGCUCGUGCCAGCAGCCGCGGUAAGACGAGCUCUCCAAACGUUAUUCGGUAUCACUGGGCUUAAAGAGUUCGUAGGCGGCCUAGCAGGUCAGGUGUGAAAUCCCACAGCUCAACUGUGGAAUAGCGCUUGAAACCGUUAGGCUUGAGGGAGAUAGAGGUAGGCGGAACAGAUGGUGGAGCGGUGAAAUGCGUUGAUAUCAUCUGGAACACCGGUGGCGAAAGCGGCCUACUGGGUCUUUUCUGACGCUGAGGAACGAAAGCUAGGGUAGCGAACGGGCUUAGAUACCCCGGUAGUC